Molecule: ribosomal RNA, 445 nt
Filed under: uncultured bacterium
Lineage: Bacteria
Description: bacterial SSU rRNA
Rfam family: Bacterial small subunit ribosomal RNA
Source: RNAcentral
CCCAGACUCCUACGGGAGGCAGCAGUGGGGAAUAUUGCACAAUGGGGGAAACCCUGAUGCAGCGACGCCGCGUGAGUGAAGAAGUAUCUCGGUAUGUAAAGCUCUAUCAGCAGGGAAGAAAAUGACGGUACCUGACUAAGAAGCCCCGGCUAACUACGUGCCAGCAGCCGCGGUAAUACGUAGGGGGCAAGCGUUAUCCGGAUUUACUGGGUGUAAAGGGAGCGUAGACGGCGCUGCAAGUCCGGAGUGAAAGCCCAUGGCUUAACCAUGGUACUGCUCUGGAAACUGUGGAGCCUGAGUGCGGGAGGGGCAGGCGGAAUUCCUAGUGUAGCGGUGAAAUGCGUAGAUAUUAGGAGGAACACCAGUGGCGAAGGCGGCUUACUGGACUGUAACUGACGUUGAGGCUCGAAAGCGUGGGGAGCAAACAGGAUUAGAUACCCCAGUA